UUAUUCAGGAAAAUUGCAUUUCUUGUGAAACAGAGAAAACAUCUUACCCCGGCUGGAUUGCAUCAAAUUGUUGCAAUCCGCGAAAGGUUGAAUGAAGGGAGAGGCAGAAAACGAAAAUACAACAAAGAAAACAUCGAAAUAAUUACCAAAAAAUCCUCAGAGACUACACGCCAAACUUCGACACAAGGUCGGAGAUGAUAUAGUCCGAACUGCAUGGCGACAUGCAG
This 227-nucleotide non-coding RNA is filed under the name Candidatus Collierbacteria bacterium GW2011_GWA2_46_26. Lineage: Bacteria; Candidatus Collieribacteriota. The record is from RNAcentral.